Molecule: ribosomal RNA, 537 nt
Filed under: uncultured bacterium
Lineage: Bacteria
Description: bacterial SSU rRNA
Rfam family: Bacterial small subunit ribosomal RNA
Source: RNAcentral
UUCGGGCCUUGGUAGCGCAGCUAACGCGUGAAGUUGACCGCCUGGGGAGUACGGUCGCAAGAUUAAAACUCAAAGGAAUUGACGGGGACCCGCACAAGCGGUGGAUGAUGUGGAUUAAUUCGAUGCAACGCGAAAAACCUUACCUACCCUUGACAUGUCUGGAAUGCCGAAGAGAUUUGGCAGUGCUCGCAAGAGAACCGGAACACAGGUGCUGCAUGGCUGUCGUCAGCUCGUGUCGUGAGAUGUUGGGUUAAGUCCCGCAACGAGCGCAACCCUUGUCAUUAGUUGCUACGAAAGGGCACUCUAAUGAGACUGCCGGUGACAAACCGGAGGAAGGUGGGGAUGACGUCAAGUCCUCAUGGCCCUUAUGGGUAGGGCUUCACACGUCAUACAAUGGUCGGGACAGAGGGUCGCCAACCCGCGAGGGGGAGCCAAUCCCAGAAACCCGAUCGUAGUCCGGAUCGCAGUCUGCAACUCGACUGCGUGAAGUCGGAAUCGCUAGUAAUCGCGGAUCAGCAUGUCGCGGUGAAUACGUUC